This 434-nucleotide unclassified non-coding RNA is filed under the name soil metagenome. RNAcentral describes it as "partial contains 5.8S ribosomal RNA, internal transcribed spacer 2, and large subunit ribosomal RNA". The stretch from base 2 to 121 matches the Rfam family "5.8S ribosomal RNA", at positions 35 to 154 of the family's 154-position model. The record is from RNAcentral.
GGAUGAAGAACGCAGCGAAAUGCGAUACGUAAUGUGAAUUGCAGAAUUCAGUGAAUCAUCGAAUCUUUGAACGCAUAUUGCGCUCUCUGGUAUUCCGGAGAGCAUGCUUGUUUGAGUAUCAGUAAACACCUCAACUUCCAUAUCUUUUUUUGAAAUGGGAGUUGGACUUGAGUGAUCCCAACGCUUUUCCUCACCGAAAAGUGGCGGGUUACUUGAAAUGCAGGUGCAGCUGGACUUUUCUCUGAGCUAUAAGCAUAUCUAUUUAGUCUGCCUAAAAAACAGAUUAUUACCUUUGCUGCAGCUAACAUAAAGGAGAUUAGUUCUUGUGCUGACUGAUGCAGGAUUCACAAAGACAGCUUCGGCCGACUUUGUAAACUCGAUCUCAAAUCAAGUAAGACUACCCGCUGAACUUAAGCAUAUCAAUAAGCGGAGGA